Molecule: long non-coding RNA, 616 nt
Filed under: Homo sapiens (human)
Lineage: Eukaryota; Metazoa; Chordata; Mammalia; Primates; Hominidae
Description: HSALNT0232135
Source: RNAcentral
UUUAUCUUUGCAAUAAAUACUUUAUCUUUUUAUUGAACUAUGUUAUAUAUAGGGAAAGUGCGUACAUCUUAAAUAUUCAGCUUGAUAAGUUGUACAAAUUGGACGUAUCUUAUAACCAGCAUUCAGACCAAGAAUCAGCUCAUUACCACAGCUACAAGUUUCUCAUUCUUGGCUAAUAUGAGCAGUGUAACUAUGAAUAUUUUAGUGUAUGCUUUAUGGUGAACACAGGUUUUAUAUAUCUAUGUCAAUUCAUAAUAAAGCUCUCCUAUGUUUUCCCACAGAAACUUUGCUGUUUUAUAUUUCAUAUUUAGAUAUGCGACUCAUCAGACAUUGAUUUCUGAAUAUAACAAAAGGCCAUAAUAUGCAUGUGUAUAUUCAGAGAACAUCUUUGUCAUCAUCAUCAUCACCAUCAUCACCAUCAUUAAUGUAAAUCUGCCUGAUAAUAAAACAAUUUUCUUCUCCAUCACACAACAAAUGUUUAGAAGUAUGUGAUUGAUAACUUUGUGUUGCAGAAUUCUUCUACAGAAAAGGCAAACUCUGUCAGUGUUGUGUAUCUUAAGAGAAGAUUGUUGCCCCUGCAUUAAGUGUGUAAGCAGUACACACACACACACACACA